GACGAACGCUGGCGGCGUGCUUAACACAUGCAAGUCGAACGGAAAGGCCCUGCUUUUGUUGGGUGCUCGAGUGGCGAACGGGUGAGUAACACGUGAGUAACCUGCCCUUGUCUUUGGGAUAACUUCAGGAAACAGGGGAUCAUAUCGCGUAGAAUCUCCUGAUGCAUGGUGGGGGAUGGAAAAUUUCGGCGGUUGGGGAUGGAUUCGAGGCUUAUCCGCUGGUUGGGCGGGUAGUGGCUUACCAAGGCUUUGACGGCUAGCCUGCAUGAGAGGGUGACCGGCGACAUUGGGACUGAGAUACGGACCAGAAUCCAACGGGAGGCAGCAGGGGGGAAUAUUGCACAAUGGGCGGAAGCCUGAUGCAGCAACGCCGCGUGCGGGAUGACGGCCUUCGGGUUGUAAACCGCUUUCGCCGGUGACGAAGCGUGAGUGACGGUAAUGAGUAAAGAAGCACCGGCUAACUACGUG
This 468-nucleotide ribosomal RNA is filed under the name uncultured bacterium. Its description in RNAcentral is "partial 16S ribosomal RNA". It matches the Rfam family "Bacterial small subunit ribosomal RNA", at positions 28 to 507 of the family's 1533-position model. The record is from RNAcentral.